AUGAGUGUGGAGAGAAAAGGCUUCGUGGAGAGAGGCAAGAGGGCUUAAUCCGGUUUUCUGAGAAUGUGUGAGGCAACCCCAGAGGAGGAGAGAGAAUUCUGAAUAAGUCUUUUGGCUGAAUGAGAAAGGGUUAAAGCCCUCCCUAUGCCCUGGUACUUUCGGCAAGAGGAAAGGGUUAGGCACCGGCUCGUCUACCAGUCCAGAGCCCCUCUUCAGAGCCCAGGCCUCCAACGGCUCGGAAGUGAUCCCAGAGGUGGGGCAGGUCACGCAGCUCUCCCCCAGCCUUGGGUAAAGCCAGGCUGGCUCUCUUGGCCUGAGGUCAGCUCCCUCCUGGACUGGACUCCCUGGUGGUCAAUUCUCAGCCCGAUCAAAGGCUACGGCAAAAAUGUGUUCAUGCCAUUAAAUCCACCCAGACGGUUGGUCAGGCAUCUCCUGGGGGAUACUGCCCAUGCGUGUGUGCAGCACACACACACACAUACACACAUGUGCACUGGCUCUCUGAGUCUUGUGUUGUAACAAGGAAGAAGGAAAUAUGGAUGAAACAUUUCUCACUCAAGGAACUAGCUGAGACCCAGUGAGAGCUUUGUGGAGGCCAUCAAUCACGUCGCCUUCUUCGCUGGCCGUGCAUAAGAACUCCAUUAUGGCUGUGCUGUUUUUAAGGUCGGGGUCACGUUGAAGUGCAGAGUCCAGCAGCGCCUCGGUUCUUGGCCCCCUUCUGCCCGGUGACCUUCCUGUAUCCCAUGGCCACACCAGACCUUAGCAACUUGAAGAACUCAGCCUGAUAUGCUGCCAGACACCACUCCCAGUCACGAGCCUCCACCCUCCCUGUCCUUAGUGCCUCCGCACGGAUGGUGACAAGUCCAGGCCUCAUUUCACAGUCAUGUGUACAGGUGUUGAAGGACCUGGGGAUGAAGGAUUCACCUGCGGCUCAGGAAACCCUUCAGUAGACCCAUCAUCAGCCCCUCUGGACCACAAGACUUCACCUAAAGUAACUGAGCUCUAGUCCCUUAAUUUAACAAAAAGACUGUCAAAUGCCACCCUUCUGAAGCAACUGAAUCGAACAUGGAAAAUCAUGAAACGAACCAACUUGGCUGUGGCCCAAGUUCACCCAUGCUCUUGUUGGAGGUGGUCUAUCUGAGUCUCCUGUGUCUCUUACUUACCAGGGGCCCCAUGUCGGGGGUUUGGAAGGGCAGACAGGAUGACAAGCAUUUAGAGGAACCCCAAACGGUUCUUUAUGCUGAGACUUCCCAAAUGGGGUAAUGACAGGCUCCAUUAUCUUGAUAAGAGUUUCUUUUGGACACUGUCCAGUUUCCUUGUUCUCAUUCUUUGUUCCCCAAGCAAACUACUGGCAUAUAAUUUGAUCCCUCAAGCAGAAUAAUUCUUUAGUCAAAGUAUACUCCGACCGCAAAUGAAUGAAUUUGUCUCCUGGCUCACCAAUUAGUGUCUGGCGAGUGUAAUUAAUGUAACUGGAUUUCCUAGAAUCUGAUCACACUGGGGCAAAUUGAACUUGA
Molecule: long non-coding RNA, 1511 nt
Organism: Aethalodelphis obliquidens (Pacific white-sided dolphin)
Lineage: Eukaryota; Metazoa; Chordata; Mammalia; Artiodactyla; Delphinidae
Exons: 3
Source: RefSeq, a predicted model, not a curated record